This 171-nucleotide ribosomal RNA is filed under the name Klebsiella oxytoca. RNAcentral describes it as "partial 16S ribosomal RNA". It matches the Rfam family "Bacterial small subunit ribosomal RNA", at positions 1 to 167 of the family's 1533-position model. RNAcentral also lists the same sequence under 1 other name. The record is from RNAcentral. Lineage: Bacteria; Pseudomonadati; Pseudomonadota; Gammaproteobacteria; Enterobacterales; Enterobacteriaceae.
AAAUUGAAGAGUUUGAUCAUGGCUCAGAUUGAACGCUGGCGGCAGGCCUAACACAUGCAAGUCGAACGGUAGCACAGAGAGCUUGCUCUCGGGUGACGAGUGGCGGACGGGUGAGUAAUGUCUGGGAAACUGCCCGAUGGAGGGGGAUAACUACUGGAAACGGUAGCUAAU